AUCAGACCGUGACGUGCUGAUCCGCAAGCCUGCAUGUGGUCGCUUGGGCUGCGGGGAGCGAGUAGCGAAACCUGCGCGGAUGUC
Molecule: non-coding RNA, 84 nt
Filed under: unclassified sequences
Description: c-di-GMP-II sequence
Rfam family: Cyclic di-GMP-II riboswitch aptamer
Source: RNAcentral